Molecule: long non-coding RNA, 322 nt
Organism: Choloepus didactylus (southern two-toed sloth)
Lineage: Eukaryota; Metazoa; Chordata; Mammalia; Pilosa; Megalonychidae
Exons: 3
Source: RefSeq, a predicted model, not a curated record
UUUUAUUCUUCUGAGCAUUAAGGAGAUUCAGCUUUUCUCUGAAGACAUAAGGCUCAUUGCUCUGAAGCUACGUAACUUCUCCAAGUCUGAUAAACAAGGGAUGCGACUCUUCUCAAUUUUUAAGUGAAUUCAGACGGAUCUUAAAGCUUUUAUUUCUUAUCAAAUUGGCAAAACUUCAAGAGCUAUGCUGAAAUUGCAUCUGUUUGUGGGAAAAAGGACAAUUUCACACAAUUAUUUUACCCCCAUGAGCUGGAGUCAAGAGGGAGCCCAGGAACUCUGUUGAAUAAGACCAUCCACCCAACCAGAAUCCACUGAAGGAGUG